AUGCACAGGACCCUAGGCCUGGCUCAGAGGGGCUGGGAGCGCCCACUGCAACCCCAUCCUUCCCUGGACAGACCCCCACCUGCGAGGAACGUGCGCCUGCAGAUCCUGCCGGAUGGAGACAUUCACAAAGGAACGCCUUCCCAGCCCAGACAUUGGCAGAGACAGAGGGCCUUGAAUGCCACGGAAAGGGCCUUCAUCCCACAGGCAGUUGGGAGCCAGAAGCCUGAUCAGAUCUGGGUUUCAGCAAGUUGCAGUGUGAACACAUGGAAGAGUCUGGUUGGGAGACGUCUGGGUGGCUCAGUGGUUGAGCAUCUGCCUUGGGCUCAGGGCCUGAUCCCCGGGUCCUAGGAUCAAGUUCUGCAUCAACCUCCCCAGAGGGUGCCCGCUUCUCCCUCUGUCUAUAUCUCUGCCUCUCUCUGUGUCUCUCAUGAAUAAUUAAUAAAAUCUUAAAAAAAAAAAAAAGUCUGGUUGGGGGCAGGAAGCCCAGUAAGUUUGCACUACUAUCUGUGAAGGGGCAUUGGGGUCUGGGCUGGGUGGGACUGUGAGGCUGUAGAGUGGAUGGUGGCUGGGCCCCGGGCAAGCCAAGCCUCUGGCACUCACCGGGGGAUGGCUCAUACUACCGUGGGCCUUUGAGGCCCCUGGCCCUUUCCUUGGAGGCCCAGUGGAGCUGGUGCUGCUCAGCUUCCCAGAAGCCCUUUGUGGACAAUGGCUUGCCUCACCCCCCACCCCCACCCCACUCUGGCCACUCAUACUGCCAAGGAGACACCUGAGCUCCAGUCGCAGCAGGCACAGGAUGACACACAGCUGUGUCCCCAGGAUGCCCCACUUGCUAGCCUGAAACUGACCUGUAACUGCAGCUCUCAGAGCCUUCCGGAACCCAGAUCCCCACCUGAGAUUGAACCAAAGACCUGGUUUAAGGUCCCUGAUUUGGCUUGCAGCCUCCCACUGUUGCCCCACUUCGCUGGGCAUCCUUGAGAGACUUUGGAGAUCCUCCUUCAGCCUCGCCCUGACCCACCC
This 1017-nucleotide long non-coding RNA is filed under the name Canis lupus familiaris (dog). RNAcentral's name for it is "lncRNA (ENSCAFG00040013791.1)". Lineage: Eukaryota; Metazoa; Chordata; Mammalia; Carnivora; Canidae. The record is from RNAcentral.